UAGCAUAUCAUAGCGGAGGAAAAGAACCCAACAGGGAUUGCCCCAGUAACGGCGAGUGAAGCGGCAACAGCUCAAAUUUGAAAUCUGGCCCCCCCGGGCCCGAGUUGUAAUUUGUAGAGGAUGCUUUUGGUGCGGCGCCGCCCGAGUUCCCUGGAACGGGACGCCAUAGAGGGUGAGAGCCCCGUCUGGCUGGACGCUAAGCCUCUGUAAAGCUCCUUCGACGAGUCGAGUAGUUUGGGAAUGCUGCUCAAAAUGGGAGGUAUAUGUCUUCUAAAGCUAAAUACCGGCCAGAGACCGAUAGCGCACAAGUAGAGUGAUCGAAAGAUGAAAAGCACUUUGAAAAGAGGGUUAAAUAGUACGUGAAAUUGUUGAAAGGGAAGCGCUCGUGACCAGACUUGGGCUUGACGGAUCAUCCGGCGUUCUCGCCGGUGCACUCUGCCUCGUCCAGGCCAGCAUCAGUUCGCCGCGGGGGAGAAAGGCUUCGGGAACGUGGCUCCUCCGGGAGUGUUAUAGCCCGUCGCGGAAUACCCUGGGGCGGACUGAGGUUCGCGCAUCUGCAAGGAUGCUGGCGUAAUGGUCAUCAGCGACCCGUCUUGAAACACGGACCAAGGAGUCGUCUUCGUAUGCGAGUGUUCGGGUGUCAAACCCCUACGCGUAAUGAAAGUGAACGCAGGUGAGAGCUUCGGCGCAUCAUCGACCGAUCCUGAUGUUCUCGGAUGGAUUUGAGUAAGAGCAUACGGGGCCGGACCCGAAAGAAGGUGAACUAUGCCUGUAUAGGGUGAAGCCAGAGGAAACUCUGGUGGAGGCUCGCAGCGGUUCUGACGUGCAAAUCGAUCGUCAUAAUAUGGG
This 849-nucleotide ribosomal RNA is filed under the name Hypomyces stephanomatis. RNAcentral describes it as "LSU rRNA". It matches the Rfam family "Eukaryotic large subunit ribosomal RNA", at positions 36 to 915 of the family's 3401-position model. The record is from RNAcentral. Lineage: Eukaryota; Fungi; Ascomycota; Sordariomycetes; Hypocreales; Hypocreaceae.